Molecule: long non-coding RNA, 389 nt
Filed under: Equus caballus (horse)
Lineage: Eukaryota; Metazoa; Chordata; Mammalia; Perissodactyla; Equidae
Description: lncRNA (ENSECAG00000048553.1)
Source: RNAcentral
AUUCACACACCUGAUGGCACACUCAAGUUCUCACUGAGUCAACCUUAACCCAGGAUUGUGUUCCAAGUGCAAGGCUCUGUGCCUAGAACUACAGCAGGAACAGCAGGAGAGGGGGCAGAACAAUGAGAGCUGCCAUUUCUAUGGGAGAAGGAAGUGUCUGCUUCCUUUGAAAGUCGUCUUUAAGCCUCACAGAAGUCUUCAACAUGGACAUUAUAAUGUUCACGUUCCAAGUGCAAAAAGUGAAAAUUAGAAAAGCUGGAAAAUCACUUGAAACAAGCUCUCCUUCCCACUGCGUUGAAGAGGAGCUGUCUAUUCUCCUUUGGGUGGACUCCCCUGGUCUUGGAAGAACCACUUGAAUGGCAUCUUUUAGUUCUAUAGAGAUGUAGAGC